CAAUAGCGUAUAUUAAAGUUGUUGCGGUUAAAAAGCUCGUAGUUGGAUUUCUGCCGAGGAUGACCGGUCCGCCCUGUGGGUGUGCAUCUGGCUCAGCCUUGGCAUCUUCCUGAAGAACGUAGCUGCACUUGACUGUGUGGUGCGGUAUUUAGGACAUUUACUUUGAGGAAAUUAGAGUGUUUCAAGCAAGCGCACGCUUUGAAUACAUUAGCAUGGAAUAAUAAGAUAAGACUUUGGCGGUCUAUUUUGUGGUUUGCACGCCAUUGUAAUGAUUGAUAGGGACAGUUGGGGGUAUUUGUAUUUUCUGUCAGAGGUGAAAUUCUUAGAUUUUGGAAAGACAAACAAUUGCGAAAGCAUUUACCAAGGAUGUUUUAAUUGAUCAAGAACGAAAGUAUGGGGAUCGAAGACGAUCAGAU
Molecule: ribosomal RNA, 416 nt
Filed under: uncultured eukaryote
Lineage: Eukaryota
Description: bacterial SSU rRNA
Rfam family: Eukaryotic small subunit ribosomal RNA
Source: RNAcentral